Non-coding RNA from Anas platyrhynchos (mallard), 651 nucleotides. NCBI's taxonomy places the organism in Eukaryota, Metazoa, Chordata, Aves, Anseriformes, Anatidae. The record is from RefSeq and is a predicted model, not a curated record.
GGUGACGAUUGCAACAGCCCCAGCAGGCACCUCAGCAGCCAGGAGGGACGAGGAGCAACCCCACCAUGCCCAUGGGUCACUGGCUGAUUGGCCAAGGGCAGAGGCGGCAGCGGGAGGAAGCCCAGCUCCCACCCACCAGCAGCGGGAUAAAACCCUCACGUUUAGGGCAAAGCAGCACUCUCUGGCUGCAGGGGCACGUGGACACGAGGGAUUCCUCUUGGCUCUCUUUGUGCCUGAGCACCAGGACCUCCAUCAGGUUCUUGUCACCUUGGUUUGUCUUCUCUGCUGCAGCCCCGUGAAGACGUGCUCCGGGCAUCAGCCAUGAAGAUCCUGUUCCUGCUCUUCCCCUUCUUCCUCCUCUUUCUCCAGGGCACUGCAGGAAUUACUCGCAUCUGCAGAACAAGAGGGGGAAUUUGUCGUUUAAGCAGGUGCCAGCUCGGUGAAAGACAGAUUGGGAGAUGCUCAACUUUCCAAGCCUGCUGCAGCAGGACAUGGGGUUGAUGUGCUGAAUGCUGUGAGCAGGAUGUCCCCCUCGCUUCUCACUCCUGGAAACAGCUGCUGAUGUCCUGUUCCAUGGGCCUGCUGUGGUUUGGCCACAGGCUGCUUUUCCCUGCUCAAAUAAAUGCGUGCAGUUUGGCAUUGCAGCUGGUG